AGCAGCUUUGUUUGGCUCUGCUAGGCACGUCACAAUGGCCAAAAUUAUGUCUUUGCUCUGUUGACUGGUUACCGUGACCCUCCUGCUGGAAUUUCGAUCAGAGAGGGGUUACACUACAAUCCCUAUUUCCCUGGUGGAGCAAUUGCUAUGCCAAAGAUGCUUAAUGAUGAAGCUGUGGAAUAU
Camelina sativa (false flax) is the source of this 183-nucleotide non-coding RNA. NCBI's taxonomy places the organism in Eukaryota, Viridiplantae, Streptophyta, Magnoliopsida, Brassicales, Brassicaceae. The record is from RefSeq and is a predicted model, not a curated record.